CAGGACUCGCAAGACUCCUUCAACCCUGUGAACUUACUACAAAGCACGUUGCUUCGGCGGGUGCCCCGGGUCCCCCGGGGCGCUGAGCCCGCCGGCAGCAUACCAAUCCUGUCUCUCUGCGUUGGCAUCUCGAGAAAACACAAAUAAGUUA
This 151-nucleotide unclassified non-coding RNA is filed under the name uncultured Chloridium. Its description in RNAcentral is "sequence contains ITS1". The record is from RNAcentral. Lineage: Eukaryota; Fungi; Ascomycota; Sordariomycetes; Chaetosphaeriales; Chaetosphaeriaceae.